Molecule: ribosomal RNA, 253 nt
Filed under: uncultured bacterium
Lineage: Bacteria
Description: partial 16S ribosomal RNA
Rfam family: Bacterial small subunit ribosomal RNA
Source: RNAcentral
UACGAAGGGGGCUAGCGUUGCUCGGAAUCACUGGGCGUAAAGGGCUCGUAGGCGGCCAACUAAGUCGGACGUGAAAUCCCCAGGCUCAACCUGGGAACUGCGUCCGAUACUGGAUGGCUUGAAUUCGGGAGAGGGAUGCAGAAUUCCAGGUGUAGCGGUGAAAUGCGUAGAUAUCUGGAGGAAUACCGGUGGCGAAGGCGGCAUCCUGGACCGACAUUGACGCUGAGGAGCGAAAGCUAGGGGAGCAAACGGG